RNAcentral lists this ribosomal RNA (449 nucleotides) under uncultured bacterium. RNAcentral's name for it is "partial 16S ribosomal RNA". It matches the Rfam family "Bacterial small subunit ribosomal RNA", at positions 29 to 523 of the family's 1533-position model. The record is from RNAcentral.
AACGAACGCUGGCGGCAUGCCUAACACAUGCAAGUCGAACGAGAUCUUCGGGUCUAGUGGCGCACGGGUGCGUAACGCGUGGGAAUCUGCCCUUUGGUUCGGAAUAACAGUUGGAAACGACUGCUAAUACCGGAUGAUGACGAAAGUCCAAAGAUUUAUCGCCAGAGGAUGAGCCCGCGUAGGAUUAGCUAGCUGGUGUGGUAAAGGCGCACCAAGGCGACGAUCCUUAGCUGGUCUGGGAGGAUGAUCAGCCACACUGGGACUGAGACACGGCCCAGACUCCUACGGGAGGCAGCAGUGGGGAAUAUUGGACAAUGGGCGAAAGCCUGAUCCAGCAAUGCCGCGUGAGUGAUGAAGGCCUUAGGGUUGUAAAGCUCUUUUACCCGGGAUGAUAAUGACAGUACCGGGAGAAUAAGCUCCGGCUAACUCCGUGCCAGCCGCCGCAGUAA